CCUACGGGAGGCAGCAGUGGGGAAUUUUGGACAAUGGGGGAAACCCUGAUCCAGCCAUGCCGCGUGCGGGAAGAAGGCCUUCGGGUUGUAAACCGCUUUUGGCAGGAACGAAACGGCGCGCGCCAAUACCGCGCGCUAAUGACGGUACCUGCAGAAUAAGCACCGGCUAACUACGUGCCAGCAGCCGCGGUAAUACGUAGGGUGCAAGCGUUAAUCGGAAUUACUGGGCGUAAAGCGUACGCAGGCGGCUAUGCAAGACAGGUGUGAAAUCCCCGGGCUCAACCUGGGAACUGCAUUUGUGACUGCAUGGCUAGAGUCCGUAAGAGGGGGGUGGAAUUCCACGUGUAGCAGUGAAAUGCGUAGAGAUGUGGAGGAACACCGGUGGCGAAGGCGGCAUCCUGGACCGGUAUUGACGCUGAGGCGCGAAAGCGCGGGGAGCAAACAGGAUUAGAGACCCUGGUAGUCCACGCUGUAAACGAUGGAUGCUGGGUGUGGGUGACAAUACGGUCAUCCGUGCCGAAGCUAACGCAUUAAGCAUCCCGCCUGGGGAGU
Molecule: ribosomal RNA, 552 nt
Filed under: uncultured bacterium
Lineage: Bacteria
Description: bacterial SSU rRNA
Rfam family: Bacterial small subunit ribosomal RNA
Source: RNAcentral